This is a small nuclear RNA of Cavia porcellus (domestic guinea pig), 107 nucleotides long. Lineage: Eukaryota; Metazoa; Chordata; Mammalia; Rodentia; Caviidae. The record is from Ensembl.
GUGCUCGCUUAGGCAGCACAUAUGCUAAAAUUAGAACAACAUAGAAAAGAUUAGCAUGGCCCCUGAGCAAGGAUGACAUGCAAAUUCAUGAAGCAUUCCAUAUUUUU